GGGCCACCAGCGCAGGCUCUCCUCCUCACAGAAGCCGGGAGCUGGUCAUCCAAGAAGAAGCAGCCUCGUUUGUUUCGGGUGUCAUCGAACAGCCAGGUCUUGCUUACUCCUGCCUUGGGAAGUCCUUCCCAAUGUCUAACCAAGAUCUGUACCGCUGAAGUACCAGUUCUUUGACCCUCGGCUUGACAUGGCUAAUUUGAGAGGCACAGGGAGGAACUGACCUUGAUUUGGCACCCGCUUGCUUGUGUAAGCCCUUUUUUUCUUUUUUUGGUCAUUUUUUGUCUUUUAGGGGCCACACCCGUGGCAUAUGGAGGUUCCCAGGCUAGGGGUCCAAUCGGAGUGGUAGCUGCUGGCCUACACCACAGCUCCCAGCAACGCCGGAUCCUUAACCCACUGAGCAAGGCCAGGGAUCGAACCCAAGUCCUCGUGGAUGCUAGGUGGGUUUGUUAACCACUGAGCCACAAUGGGAACUCCCUAUGUAAACCCUUUCUUAGCCAUUCUUAUCUCAGUGAAUCUUCCAACAGUCCUGAAAACUGAGUGAUACUGUCGCCACUAUACAAAGACAAUCAGAGCCCCAAGUCACAGGACUGGUAAGUGAAGCUGGGCUUCAGGUGGGUCCUGGUGGACCCCAGAGCACAUGCGGUCUCCCCCUCCUGUACUGACUGCCUAAAGAAUAUGUUCCAAACACAGUCAGGAACACCAAGAGGAGAUGGGACCAGGUAGGCAGGGAGCCUUCUCUGCAAGUCCUCAGGGGGAGAAGGGGCGUUCCCUCUCAGGCGCAGGAGUGAAGUCAGAGGAAUGCUACAGCAGCCCUUGAGGAGUGAAGGCAGGCCUGGGGAAGGGGGCACAGGAGCCCUAGAAGUCAAUAAAAUCCUCCCAGCUGGGCUCCUGGCCAAGGGAAUAUGCUUCCCAUCUUCCUGAAGCCAAGUACCUGGGGCCACCACCGCCUCUCACCUGCUUGAGAUCUGAGUUCCCGCCCUGGGCAUUCUCCCCCACCCCCACUCCACGGCUCUGGGUAGAGCACCUCGAAGAGAUAUCUAGACUCAGCCACUGUCAUGGUAGCCCCUUGGAGAGCCCUCCCUGGUCUCUCACCUCUCCUGGCCGCUGGACGGUUACCUUCUGCCUCCUGCUAAGGUCUCCAUCCAAAGAGAAGCUCUUUCACUCUUGACCUAUUUAUUUUCUUUUCAGACCAAAAAGAAGAACCUACUUCACCCACUUGUCCUGGGUUCCCUCUGAGACGCUGUCUUGAUUGACUGAAAGAUGAGGCUAAACUCUAGCAAGUUGAGUGGCUCCUCCCAGAAUCCUUUAAGCAGGAUAGAAGUGGGGAGGCCCCAGCCUCCAGCCUGGGCAGCCCUUUAGACUGGAGCCGCCUGGCAAAGA
This 1380-nucleotide long non-coding RNA is filed under the name Sus scrofa (pig). RNAcentral describes it as "lncRNA (ENSSSCG00040051343.1)". The record is from RNAcentral. Lineage: Eukaryota; Metazoa; Chordata; Mammalia; Artiodactyla; Suidae.